GACCUCGGAUCAGACGUG
This 18-nucleotide ribosomal RNA is filed under the name Atriophallophorus winterbourni. RNAcentral describes it as "partial large subunit ribosomal RNA". Lineage: Eukaryota; Metazoa; Platyhelminthes; Trematoda; Plagiorchiida; Microphallidae. The record is from RNAcentral.